CCUACGGGGGGCUGCAGUGGGGAAUAUUGGACAAUGGGCGCAAGCCUGAUCCAGCAAUGCCGCGUGUGUGAAGAAGGCCUGCGGGUUGUAAAGCACUUUCAGUGGGGAGGAAGGCCUCGAUAUUAAUACUAUUGAGGAUUGACGUUACCCACAGAAGAAGCACCGGCUAACUCUGUGCCAGCAGCCGCGGUAAUACAGAGGGUGCAUACGUUACUCGAAAUUACUGGGCGUAAAGGGUGAGGUGAGAUGUGAAAGCCCCGGGCUCAACCUUGGAAUUGCAUUUGAUACUGAGUAACUUGAGUAUGGUAGAGGGAAGUGGAAUUUCCAGUGUAGCGGUGAAAUGCGUAGAUAUUGGAAGGAACAUCAGUGGCGAAGGCGACUUCCUGGACCAUUACUGACACUGAGGCACGAAAGCGUGGGGAGCGAACAGGAUUAGAUACCCUUGUAGUC
Molecule: ribosomal RNA, 450 nt
Filed under: uncultured bacterium
Lineage: Bacteria
Description: partial 16S ribosomal RNA
Rfam family: Bacterial small subunit ribosomal RNA
Source: RNAcentral